GAGAGUUUGAUCCUGGCUCAGGAUGAACGCUGGCGGCGUGCCUAAUACAUGCAAGUCGAGCGAAUGGAUUAAGAGCUUGCUCUUAUGAAGUUAGCGGCGGACGGGUGAGUAACACGUGGGUAACCUGCCCAUAAGACUGGGAUAACUCCGGGAAACCGGGGCUAAUACCGGAUAACAUUUUGAACCGCAUGGUUCGAAAUUGAAAGGCGGCUUCGGCUGUCACUUAUGGAUGGACCCGCGUCGCAUUAGCUAGUUGGUGAGGUAACGGCUCACCAAGGCAACGAUGCGUAGCCGACCUGAGAGGGUGAUCGGCCACACUGGGACUG
RNAcentral lists this ribosomal RNA (326 nucleotides) under Bacillus anthracis (anthrax bacterium). RNAcentral's name for it is "bacterial SSU rRNA". It matches the Rfam family "Bacterial small subunit ribosomal RNA", at positions 7 to 321 of the family's 1533-position model. Lineage: Bacteria; Bacillati; Bacillota; Bacilli; Caryophanales; Bacillaceae. The record is from RNAcentral.